GAAGAAGAAGAAGAAGAAGAAACCAAAGCGACACCAGUAUCAAAACCAGAUAUUGAGGAAGUUCUCGCACAAGAGCAAUCAUAACCUGUAUGAAUCUACAAAAGAUUAGCUCCAUGUCAACCAAUGAACAUUUUUAUUUGUGUCCAAUAGGAGCAAGGUGAAGGAAUUAUUGAAGUUUAGUUAUUUAAUUUCUUAUGGCUAGGGAAUUCAAAAUGCAGUGCAUGUUGAUCCAAUAGUAUUGCAAGGGAUUGGCCUGCACUGUGCAUUUGGAGGACCUAUUGUUUGUUCAUGAUUUUGCAUUGUUGGAUUGAAA
Molecule: unclassified non-coding RNA, 313 nt
Filed under: Hevea brasiliensis (rubber tree)
Lineage: Eukaryota; Viridiplantae; Streptophyta; Magnoliopsida; Malpighiales; Euphorbiaceae
Source: RNAcentral